CAAUUUUUGUAUUUUAAUUAGAGUCGGGGUUUCACCAUGUUGCGUAGGCUGCUCUUGAACUCCUGACCUACUUUUGUCGGUUGUUUUCGUAUCAGAUAUACCCAGGGAUAGAGGUAUUACUCUGUUUUCUUCUAACAACAAGAAGUGAAGAUAAUGGGUGCCUAAUAAAUGCAAAUAUAAGGUCAUUUCUGUAGCACAGAAAAAUCUUUUGUGUUUAUCAACAUUCAUGAUUUUUCUUGUUACCUAUGUAUUAUAACUACUUUACUAUAUACACAGAUAUAUUGUCAAUCACAUCUAUAUGAAUUGUGGAUAUGACUUACUUGAUUAUUCUACCUUAAUUUAUAAGGAAUGACUAUCUCAGGAAGCAUGACUAGAAAGCAGAUGUAGUUGAAGUCAAUGUUUUCUCUGACUUCAGUUUGAAAUGGAACAUCAAGAAGUAUGUAUUAAACAUCUGCUAUGUGAUAGGCACUGUACUAAUUGAUAUUUUAUUUCUAUGGAUAGUGGCCUUUCCAGGGGUAUUCCUGUGGGAGGGGAGGGGGAUAAGGAAGGGAAGAGGCUCAAAUGAUUCUACCUGCUGUUCCCAUGGUUAUUGGUCUGGUUAUCCAGCACACUGGUGAAAAGGUGGAGGUCUUGCUCAUAUUUGUGGUACAGUUUUUUUGGCUUUUCUGUCUUGCUUCUCUAGAGUAUCUCUGUUAGGGCACUUGUUAACUAAAUAUUUCACAUCUGGUCUUCUGAACGUCUUCAGUCUUUGGUGUUUACAGUACUUCUUAUGAAGUUAUAAAUUUUACUUUCUUUGCAGGUGUCAUUUAUGCAAUAUGUUUUGGACUCAAUUUUUUUUAAAACUUACAAACUUCCAAUAAUCCAACGAAACAAUCCAGGUAAGAGACACAGAAAACUGUAAAUGAUGCAAAAACAGCUGAACUGAAUAUGAGAGAUGUUCAAGAGUUAUGACCUGAGAAGAUGUCCCCGCCAUCAAUAGACAUUGCAGGAUGUGAUACCACUCUGGAGGACUUUGAAGUUUCUGGAUUUGGUUGAAGAAAGAUGCUUUGGACAUUUUGAAUUUGAGAUGCUUCUCCAGAAGUCUUAUGGAUCUGAAGCAUGGGAGAGGAGUAUAAGCUGGGGAAAUAAGUUUGGGGGUUACCAGAAAACUAGCAGUGGGUAAGGCCAUGAGCAAAUGAAAUCAAAUAGAGGAUGAAGAGAACAGGAGCCCUAGCAAACCUUGACAGUUAAAGAGUAUGCAGGGAAAAGGACUUAGAAAGGACCCUGUAAAGAAAGAUCCAAGAUGACCUGAAGAACUGAGAGAGCCUCUCUGUUAUUUAGGGUGACAUAAAUAGCGUCUGGAAGCAGGACCUGAAGUAGGAUCAGUUUUGGACAGAGCUGGCAAUUCUUGGUACCAGUAUGCAGCACUUACAGGAGCCCUUUGAGCUCUCCACUUUCACGGCUCGCCUCUUCUGCCCUGGUGCCAGGAUCUAUUUUUGUCAUCACCAGCCAGGAAGGAUACAAGGCCUCUUCCAAGAUGAAGACGAAACUAUUGACAGAUAUUUUGUCAAGACCAAAUUUUCCCUAAGGGCCCUGUCAUAGAUUGUUCCCUGGGCAGGAUGCAGCCUCCUUCAGAGAGUGAAGAACACACCAAAAGAUCCUCUACUAAAUUAAUCAUAAGCCACAUGAGGCAGGCUGGAAUACAGUUACCAAUCUGCUUUAAUUCUCCCACUUAGAUGGCCUGAAGCCGCCUGAACUGAAAGUUGGAUGAAGCUCGGCUUUGAGUUUCAUCGCGGGGCAUCGUGUGGCCUAAGUCCUUAGCCAAUGCCUGCCAAAUAUUAGCUUGAGUCGCAAUAAAGAGAAAAGGUCCAAAUUCUC
This 1857-nucleotide long non-coding RNA is filed under the name Homo sapiens (human). RNAcentral's name for it is "HSALNT0327544". The record is from RNAcentral. Lineage: Eukaryota; Metazoa; Chordata; Mammalia; Primates; Hominidae.